This 297-nucleotide long non-coding RNA is filed under the name Olea europaea (common olive). RNAcentral describes it as "long non-coding RNA (OEUR_LNC010590)". Lineage: Eukaryota; Viridiplantae; Streptophyta; Magnoliopsida; Lamiales; Oleaceae. The record is from RNAcentral.
GGUCAGAGCUAUCAUCAAAUGUGUCUGCAGAGGAGAACCAAAUAUGAUCAAAGGCAUUUCCGGUAGAUUUCUGUUGCAUGUCUAUCCUGGUGAAACCUUGAUAACUGAAAUGUGGCUUGAAGGUUCAAGGUAGGUUAAGUUUUUUCUUUUUCCUUACUCGAAUUCAUGAUACCUUGAUAACUGAAAUGUGGCUUGAAGGUUCAAGGUAGGUUAAGUUUUUUUUUUUUUUUUUUACCUUACUCGAAUUCAUGAUACUUAAUCUACGUUGGAGCUUACAAAUGUAGUGAAAUAUGCAGG